Molecule: long non-coding RNA, 418 nt
Filed under: Brassica napus (rape)
Lineage: Eukaryota; Viridiplantae; Streptophyta; Magnoliopsida; Brassicales; Brassicaceae
Description: long non-coding RNA (BNAP_LNC020932)
Source: RNAcentral
UUUGGGUCUUAAAAUUCUUUAAAGGUUUCCAAAUAGUUUGAAUUACCUUUUGUCCUACUGUUUGACUAACCUUAAAAGUUCAAAUUGUUAAUUAUCUACUUCAUAAUUUCGUCGAAGACUAGAUCUGGUUUUGAGUACGAUAAAACGUCUCUGCGCAGGGGAAAAGCGAGAUGCUGCGUUGGUGUCUGUCUAUCUUUUCGUGUGUGUAAUGGACAUGUUCAGUUAAGUGGUUAACAAGGGUCCAACACAUAGGUCCAAUUAAUGGAUAACUCGGCUGCUGGGCCUAACAAGUUAUAAACAUGUUUCAUUUAAUUUGUUUCUAAUUCUCUCUAGUGAGGAUGUUAGCAAGCUAGCUGUUAUAGAACUCUUACAUUUAGAUUACUCUUAUAAAUAUGUGUUCAUUGUCUAUAGGGAGACA